Long non-coding RNA from Triticum aestivum (bread wheat), 5119 nucleotides. RefSeq lists it as uncharacterized. NCBI's taxonomy places the organism in Eukaryota, Viridiplantae, Streptophyta, Magnoliopsida, Poales, Poaceae. The transcript is spliced from 6 exons. The record is from RefSeq and is a predicted model, not a curated record.
UGUCAAUCCCUCGCUAGCCCUACCUCGUCUCCCGUCUCCAGGGGCAGCCGUCUGCAUCUCGUUCCCCUCUCCCUCCGACAUGGCCGCCCCCAUCCACCGUCCACCCCCGCCGCCGCUGCCCUCACCCUCUCCCUGCCCAGGCCCCACAUCAAGCAGCGGCCAUGGCGUUCCCGGCCGCCGCGGUGCGUGAUUCCCACCUCUACCUCUGCCUCGCCGUGGAUGGGAAGGAGAUCGGAAUCCUCCAUGGACGGACGCACUGAUGGGGGUCUCGUCUGACGACGGAGGCGGACCACCAGGAGGAGUUGCCGUGAGACGACACCGACGGUCGGCUCCUUCUCCACAACAACACAACACCGACCGUGGGGACUCCCGUUCUUCCACCCUGACGGCCUCUCCUCCGGCGCCCCUGUUCUUCUUCCACUCCGGCACGAUGAUAAGCCACCGGCUCCCUCCUCUACUCCACUCUACUUGCAAUAUCUUUCAAGUUUCUAUAUCACCUAAAAAAGGCCGGUCUGAACCAGAGAAACACGUUUCAGUUCUGUAGGCUUUCAGUUUUUAUAGCUUCUCAACAAGUGCUAAAUUAGCCCUGCUCUUGUCUAUAUCAGCUAUUCCUACAAGGGUUCUUGACUUCUUGUAUGUGCCAAAUUUUGUGAAAAAAAAACUGUUCUUGGCACAUCAAUGUGUUCGCAGCUAUUUACUUGAUGAGACAAGGAUGCGAAAGUGUUUGCAACUUGUCAUGACAUCAAAGCCUCUGUUGUACAUGUGUCAAGGAUGAGAUUCACAUGAUAAUUUGUUUUGUUUGGGCCUUAUGCUGUACUGUAUACAACUGAAUUACUUUUUGUGUUUUAUGAUUUAGUCAGUAGCCAAUCAAUGUCAGUGAUAAUAUGUAUCUUGUGAUUCUUUCUUCGUGUGCCGGUCAUGGUUCCCUGAUGCGGUUUAGAUUUUGUGAUUCCCUGACGAGGUUCCCUCACACACGCAGGUGCACGACAGAGCCGGCUGCGUGUGGUGCGUGCGGGGGGAUUCUUCUUCCACUCUGGCAAUCUGAGAGCAGCCAAGCAAGCUUAUUGAGAUAUGUAUCUUGCGAUUCUUUGUGUGCCGGUUACGUCUGCGGGUACGGCUGCACGAGUUCAUGUCUGUCAUUCACACAUGCAAAUUGUGAUGCCUGCUGCUUGCGACAGUUUUGCCCCUGUUCUUCUUCUACUCCGGCAAGAUGGAUUCAAACUUGGUUCUGAAAAGCACACCACAGAGGUCACCGUGAAGAAGUCUGGAAGCCUGCUUAUAAAUUCUGGGAUACAAGGAUACUCCCUGCUAAAGACAACUCAGGAUUCGUGAGGGAUCGCUACACUCUUCUUCCUGAAACAAGAGAAAGAAUUGUAGCUACAGAAGUAACUGCUUGGUGGAGCAGAUGAGAGUCUGGAAUGUUCCAUCCAAAUAGUUUAAUCAGAAACUGCACUGGCAAAGGUCUAGAGGAUGUAGAGGAGCUCCAGUUUGAUCCUAAGGAUGGCAUUGCUUUUUUUCUUCUUAUGCUCCAGUUUGCAGCAGCAUCUCCGACACCCUCUCGACGAAUUGCAGGUAGAUUGUAGCUGAGGAUGCGGCAAUGACCACCAAGGUAUGCCCUUCUCUCCUUGCCCUUCAUGCUGGCUUCAACAAGGCCGAAAGAUCUUCAGUCUUUUACAAGGUCAACCCCGCCUUCCUUGCAAUCAAUCUGCUGGCGACAGUAGAAAUUAACAGUCCUUUGUAUGUGUUUCUACAUGGUGGAUAUACGUGCAGGACCGGAGUGCAUGCUCUGUGGCAGAAGCAUCAGGGUGCUCCACGCUCAACAUCUUCUCAGCAUAGCUGCUCGAUCAGUAGUUUUGAUUGAUCUAUUUGAUAAUUUAAGCCAUCCAGUUGAUGUUCUUGGUUCGCUCAUGCUCUUUUCUUAUGUUGUUGUUUAAUCACUAUUGGCUUGGAUAUUCUCUAUAGCAUCUCAACAAUUCACUGCAAUUGGCCAGGUUAUUCUGUAUAUUUGAUAUUGUACGAGAGUAGCAGUCGGACUCAAAAAAUCACAACAUUCUGCAGGUACAACAACCACUUUACGCCGAACCUUGAUCUCAUGUUAUAUGAGUAGGUUAUAAAUUUUUAGUAACUAAAUUCACAUUAGUUUUUGAAGCACAAAUUGAUGUCUGUAAGUUAUUUAGGAUAACAUUUUGCUCCAUUUGGUAGAUAUAUAACAAGACAAUAUAGAGGGAUGUAGAGAGCUAUUUUUUUGUUAAAAUAAACAGUGGAAACGGUUAGCUUUAAUCAGAUAUGUUUGCUGAAAUCCAUUUGGAUAUUUUUUCUCUUUUCUUAGUUUGGUCGCACAUGGAUCAGCUUAGUGUGUCUUAUCUUUUUCACUAAAGUGUGGAUAUUUAUGUAUAGAGUAAAACGUGUCCAUGCUAUUUAUUUUCCAUAGUCAUUGUUGCCUAUACCAUAUUUAAAUUGCUGUCUUUAUUGUCCUUAUCUGAUGAUAGCCCAUUGGGAAAUGAAAGAAAGUGGGUUAAAUACUUUGUUUCUUUAUUUUAGGUCCAAAUUUACAUUGAUCGUUUAGUGGUUCAUCGAAAUUGUUCUGCCUAUGACUUUGAAAUUGGCCAGUAAAAGCCAACAUCCACCCUCUUCACAGCCGCAGUCAGGGAUUCGUUCAUUUUAGUGUGAGUAAGGAUGGGAACAUUGAUCUGUAUAUGGUAAUAUUUUAUGCUGAUUUCAUUUCUCAUUUCAUUGAUCAUCCGUGUUACUCCUUUGACAAAUGAUAUUUAUAGUACUUCUGGAUGACAAAGACUUUGAGUUCUGUGUGAAGCUCCAAAAGGAAUACCUAUAAGACUCCUUCAUCAACUUAGUAAGAUUGCAUAUGCCCUUUGCGUUGCACAGGUCCAACGCCUCGCUCCUCUACUCAUAGUGAAAAAAAAACUUAGGUACUCUGAAAUUUAUCUUUUCUUCCCCUCACGCUUUGUUAGGUUAGAUCAAUAGUUUUAUCUUAUUGGACCUGUGCAUUUUGAGAGUCCGAAAUGGGAACAUUAAAUUUACUUGGACCCUAUCUUAUUCUCAUAUCUGUAACUAGCUUUGCUUGUCAUUUAGAAGGGACGACCUAAGGAGUAGAGAGAUUCGAGACAAUCAAAAUCCUGCAUAUGUAUGUUUACAGGCGUUUGAUAAUCCUACGCCAGGGCCACAUAUAUAGGGACAUUCAAAAUUCUACACCAGGUUCACGUAUAUAGGGACAUAUUCAGCUGAGGUUCACGUAUAUACAAACCUGAAACUGUAUGCUUUUACACCAGGUUCACGUAUAUAGGGACAUAUUCAGCUGAGGUUCACGUAUAUACAAACCUGAAACUGUAUGCUUCAAACCGGAUGUGGCAGUAAUCCACUCAUCAUGCAAAACAAAACAAAAAUCUGUUACCUAGCAUGUAUUUGUUUGUACAGAUGAUGCCAUGUACUACAUUUUGUUUGCAAAAUCCAGCACCUAGCAUGUAUUUGUUAUAAUCGAGCACCGCGACGAAUCUGUUAUUUACCUUAGGAGGGUAAGAAAAAACACAAUCAAUGAUAUUAUACAUAAUUCUAGACAUUGUUUUAGAGUAUGUUCUGAAGUAUAUUUUUCUUCCAGUAAAUGUUGGAAAUGUCUAUGUACUUUUUUCUCCCAAUAUGUUAUGGUCAUCUUCCUGCUAUGCAUAUAAAUUUCAUGGCCAGCUUACUAGCUGGUGGUUGGCGAUCCUUUCUAUCUUCUUCCUCGCCGGCUCGAUAAAUCUCUCGGUUUCCUUCUCCUACCACUCGUCCUCCCUUGUGCUCUGUAACUCGGCCAUUGAUGUGGCUGUUAGUAAUAAGAUGGUAAUAUUUGUUUUAUAGAAAUACUUGUUUUUUUGCGGGUGUUUAGAAAUACUUGUUAGUUGCACAGGUGUACCCUGCAAGGAAUAAUUUUACAAUGGAAAUGCAUAUCUGUUGAAUUGAUGACUAAACAAGUUUGCGGGCACAUAUCUGAAAAUACAAGCAAAUACAGACAUAGAUUUAAGGGUUCUCAUUCAUUUAAAUCUCAAUGUUGAGAGAAGCCGAUCUCUGGAUAUGAGUAUUUUCUUCCCUGUUUGCGUGAUUGUUUAAUUGAAUGGAUAACUGUGUCUCCUGAAUAUUGUCCCAUAUAAUUGUUUUAAAUCUACCGAAUUAGUUCUCUAAAUCAGUUGAUAUUUUGCAAAGCUUCAAGCUUUAGUUUUUGCACUUCAUGACACCAAUUGUUUGUGCAGAUUCAAGAUUUAUUUCUGUACUGGAUGAUAGCAGUGAUUAGUGGAUUACUGUCACACGCUGCUGUUGUCAUCCAUAUCUCCUCAAGCGCCUUAGGUUUGUGAUGCGUAAGUUGUUGUACAUAUGUAAAUUGUUCUGUUCUUCUUUCGCCAAAACAUUAAUAAGCCCGCGAUACACUUUGCUUCUUUUUUAUCUAAUGUCUAUUUGUAGACUAAGUGUUUUAUUUAUGAUAGUGGAUUUCUGGCGUACAUGUGAAUAUCUCAUGUAUAUACAAUCAGUACACUCACCUGAACGAGAAUGGUGGCAAGCAGAGCGGGGUUGCGUCUUGUCCUUCUAGCGUCGAAGGUCCGGUGCACCCAUGGGUGUGCCUUUGCUAGUUUCUGACUGUCGCAAAGAAGUCAGAGCUGUGGGCGGCGAGGCCACUGCGGCAACGAUGACUAUGAGGACAGUUUUCAGCAAGCGGUGCUCCCCGAAUGUUGCAUUGAACUACGUCUUUGCGUGGCUUGCAACCUUCUCCUAUGAAGCCCGUAUGCAAAAUCGAAACUGUCAUGUCCUCGGUGUUGUGCUCGACUAUUCAUUGUUGCUUUGUGGCUCCGUGCUUCCUCUCCACAGUUAUAUCAUUUUUUGUGAUGUAAUCUUAUUAGUGGUUGGGUCAUCCAUGCGAGCCCCUUCUGAAGUUUGUAGUCUAGGUUAGAUACAUCCGUAUGUAGACAAAUUGAAGACAAAUAAUAUGGAAAGGAGGGAGUAUAUUAUUUGACUCAAGCACUCACAACCAACGCACUACACUCAUGCACGUGAAAUACAAUCGUAUUUUGAUCAAUAUCCCUGUGUAAGUUUGUUGUUCGGAGGCAAUCACGUAUGAAUUGAAGAGAGGUGAAUA